UACGGGGGGGGCAAGCGUUGUUCGGAAUUACUGGGCGUAAAGGGCUCGUAGGUGGCCAACUAAGUCAGACGUGAAAUCCCUCGGCUUAACCGGGGAACUGCGUCUGAUACUGGAUGGCUUGAGUUUGGGAGAGGGAUGCGGAAUUCCAGGUGUAGCGGUGAAAUGCGUAGAUAUCAGGAGGAACACCGGUGGCGAAGGCGGAUCUCUGGACCAGUUCUGACACUGAUGAGCGAAAGCCAGGGGAGCAAACAGG
This 253-nucleotide ribosomal RNA is filed under the name uncultured bacterium. RNAcentral's name for it is "partial 16S ribosomal RNA". It matches the Rfam family "Bacterial small subunit ribosomal RNA", at positions 524 to 776 of the family's 1533-position model. The record is from RNAcentral.